CAUUUAUAUUAUGACUAUUGAGUAAAUUUUUCCAAACAUGGCAAACCUGUACAUGUACAUGCUGUUUAUAUACAUAUUACUACAGUUCAAUGACUCAAGUUUUAAAUGCAUAAGCUUAAGGUCAUAACAGAAUUUAAACUAACUAUCAUAAUUGUAUGAACAUCAUGAUGAAUAUUUACAUUCUCUCAAAGAGUUUUAAUUUUACUUAGCUAAUACAGAAGAUGAUGGAUUCCCCAACAGAAAUCUUGAUGAUCGAACGAUUAAGGUGAAAAAAUUGAAGAAUUCCAUCAAUUGUUACAGAGAAUCGAUUUGCAAGCAGAAACAGGUGCUCAAAGAUAAGGGAAUACAACAGCCAUCCAUGAACCUUUACAUGUAAAGUAAGUAGCUGUUCAUGAUGCUUAUAGGCAUAUGCAAUCUAGUCUGGGCAUGUAAAACAGCAGCUGGUUCUAUUUUGAAAAUCUACAAAAUAGAGCUAAGGUCCUUUAAGCCAAGAAACUGCUAGUGUCCGAAGAGGACAAUUUAAGACAGGACAUGAAAAUUGAUUUAAUGUCAAGUUGGAACAGUGAUUCUGUAAAUAAACUCGCCUGAUCACAAGACCUCGGAUUUGACUGAAUCUUACAUGGAUAGACCAAAGUCAUUUACUAGACUGUAAAUACUAGAGGCAGCUGAAAGCACAAGGCACAAAGCUGAGGUCCAAGUAAAUCAGAGAGGCCUUGUCACAAGAAAUGUACAGAACUUGCAUGUUUUUUUUCCUUAUGGGUAUAUGACAAAAUAUUGAGAUAUAUGUCAAUGAAAAUUACUUUGAAUUUAAAAAAGGGCCAAUUCAAUGGUACACUUUUGGAAUUUGCAAGAACAAAAAUACCUUCAUGUUUACUUUUGAAUUAUAGUUGACAAUCUUCACUUUAAGGGGAACCUCUGAAAAUAAGUCCAAUGGAGGGGUUUGGUUUAUUGAAUUCAAUUAUUUUUUAAAGAAAAACAUGAAAUAUUGCUCUUUAAUUUCAACAUUUGCAUUUUGCUACAUGUAUUAAAAUUAUUUACAAGUGCAGCAUAUCCAUGACAUCAGAUUAUGUUAUUGUGUUUGGUUAAGCUACAUAUUUCUUUUUACUUAAACUUUCUGUUGACUUUACUAGUUAAUAAAAUGCUGAAUAAUAAUUUGAGUGUGGCUCAUUCGAGUGUCUAGUAUUUCCUGUCAAUUUUUUUGAUGAUUUUACCAUAUUAUUUAUAAUCCCUUGGUCAAAGGGAGAUAACUUAUUGUAUUUUCACAUUAAAAUGCUGAAUAAUAAUUUGAGUGUGGCUCAUUCCAGUGUCUAGUAUUUGCUGUCAAUUUUUUGGAUGAUUUUACCAUAUUAUUUAUAAUCGCUUGGUCAAAGGGAGAUAACUUAUUGUAUUUUCACAUUAAAAUGCUGAAUAAUAAUUUGAGUGGCUCAUUCCAGUGUCUAGUAUUUGCUGUCAAUUUUUUGGAUGAUUUUACCAUAUUAUUUAUAAUCGCUUGGUCAAAGGGAGAUAACUUUUUGUAUUUUCACAUUAAAUCAUCUGCGAAGAGGAUUAUGUAAAAUGUGAAUUGUUGAAAACUAAUUUUAUGGUUCAAUAAAAUCAAAAUAAGUUACUGCCAUUCAUUAUAAAUAAAUUUCUAUCAAAAAUAAGGCUCAAAGAACUUUUUAUAUUACUAAUAUUAACAAUAACAAUGUACACACAUGUUGAAGUGUUAAUACACAACGUCAGAGUGGGUGUAUCACCAUAAAAUAUAAACAUUGAAAAUAAAACUGAUACUUUUAACUAAUCAGGAGACAGUUAAUACACCAAAUAUAUUU
Mytilus trossulus (common blue mussel) is the source of this 1811-nucleotide long non-coding RNA. RefSeq lists it as uncharacterized. NCBI's taxonomy places the organism in Eukaryota, Metazoa, Mollusca, Bivalvia, Mytilida, Mytilidae. The record is from RefSeq and is a predicted model, not a curated record. The transcript is spliced from 3 exons.